UAAUAAGUGUUUUAUGGCACUUUUUAAAUCCAUAUUCACCUUGUGUGCAAUGUCAGUCGAUCUUCUUCAUGGAGAUCGACCAAACAUCAACCUUUAUCUUUUAACUCUUUGUCUGAAAAAUAUUAUGAAUAAACAAUUCAAAAUA
This 145-nucleotide unclassified non-coding RNA is filed under the name soil metagenome. Its description in RNAcentral is "partial internal transcribed spacer 1". The record is from RNAcentral.